UUUAUUCUUAAGGCACUUUGUGUUGAUCUUACGUUUUCGUGUGGUCACAACCUUACCUGCUAACAGUUGUUUAAUUACCUACUAGUUUGUUUUUUAUAUGGAAUUGGAUCCUAUGAGCUGUACUUGUAUGGGAAUUGAAUUGGUUACUCAAGCACUGUAGCCAGAAGAGACUUGAAAAAAGGACAUAUAUCCCAAGUUGAAAACUUGAAAAGUACUUAAGAUGAUUCGCUUGUUUUCUGUGUCUGGUAUGGUUUUACGGAACAACUUCAACAGGACAUUUUCUACAUCAAGAAGCUGUGAGAAGCUGCGUGUGGCCAUCAUCGGCCAGAGCUCGUUCGCCGGCGAGGUGUACAAGCUGCUGCGCAAGGAUGGCCACACGGUGGUGGGCGUGUUUACUGUGCCCGAUCAGGGCGCGCGCGAGGACCCCGUCGCCACGACGGCGGCCGCGGACGGCGUGCCCGUCUUCAAGUUCAAGUCGUGGCGCAAGAAGGGCGUGGCACUGCCCGAGGUGCUCGAGCAGUACAAGUCGGUGAACGCCGAGCUGAACGUGCUGCCCUUCUGCAGCCAGUUCAUCCCCAUGGAGGUCAUCAACGCGCCGCGACACCAGAGCAUCUGCUACCACCCGUCGCUGCUGCCCCGCCACCGCGGCGCAUCGUCCAUCAACUGGACGCUGAUGUGCGGCGACAAGAAGGCGGGCUUCUCGAUCUUCUGGGCGGACGACGGCCUGGACACGGGCCCCAUUCUGCUGCAGAAGGAGUGCUCGGUCGACCCGGACGAGACGGUCGACACGCUCUACAACAAGUUCAUGUACCCGGAGGGCAUCAAGUCUAUGGCUGAUGCGGUGAACAUGGUGUCUGCGGGCACUGCGCCGCGGGUGCCCCAGACAGAGGAGGGUGCCACCUACGACCCCUUCCUCAAUAAGAAGGAACUGGUGCGUCUGGACACCGAGAGACCGGCCGAGGACAUUCACAACUUUAUCCGAGGACUGGACAGCUCGCCCGGAGCCUGGAUUAUGAUGGACGGUAAGGAGACCAAGCUGUACGGCUCGAAGCGGUUCUCGGGGCCGAAGCCGACCGGCACCGAGGUAGCCAUCGAGGGCUGUGACCGGCCGGGCGUCAUCUGCUCCCACGGUCUCGUCAUCACCGGCUCGGACGGCAAGAUGGUAUCGGUGGCGCGUCUCUCGGUCGAGGGUAAGUUCGUGCAGGCGGCCAAGUACGGCCAGGCGGAGGAGACCCGCGAGCGACUCGAGCUGACAGCCGAGGAGACGGCCGUGGCAGACGACCUCCGGAAAACCUGGGCCGACAUCCUGAAAAUCGACGUCAGCGACGAGACAGACUUUUUCGUGGCCGGCGCCGGCAGCAUGGACGUCGUCAGGCUGCUGGAGGAGGUGAAGAUGAAGUCGGGUGUCGAGCUGCAGAACGAGGACGUCUUCAUGGCCUCCAAGUUCGACGACUUUGUGCAGACAGUGGUGUUUGUGUCUCGCGGCGGCAGUCUGAAGCCCGAGUUCACCUAUGACGCCAUCAAGAUGCACGUCAACAACAUGGACAUCUCGUUCCCGCACCAGAUCUUCAUCAACAACGAGUUCACGGAGAGCAGCACGGGUCGACAGAUUACCUCCAUCAACCCGGCCGACGAGUCGCCCAUCUGUGACGUGGCGCGGUCGUCGCCGUCCGAUGUGGACCGCGCUGUGAGGGCGGCGCACGAGGCCUUCACCGAGGGCGAGUGGGGCAAAAUGAACGCCAGGGACCGCGGCGCGCUCAUGUUCAAACUGGCCGACCUGAUGGACCAGCACAAGGAGGAACUGGCCACCAUCGAAUCCAUCGACUCUGGCGCCGUCUAUACGCUGGCACUGAAGACGCACAUCGGCAUGUCCAUUGACACGUGGCGCUACUUCGCUGGAUGGUGCGACAAGAUCCAGGGCAAGACGAUACCGAUCAACAACGCCCGGCCCAACCGGAAUCUGACCAUCACCAAACGCGAGCCCAUCGGUGUGUGCGGCCUGGUGACGCCCUGGAACUACCCCCUGAUGAUGCUCUCCUGGAAGAUGGCCGCCUGUCUAGCGGCCGGUAACACUGUGGUCAUCAAGCCCGCCCAGGUGUCCCCGCUCACGGCGCUGAAGUUUGCCGAGCUGGCGGUCCGGGCCGGCUUCCCGCCGGGCGUCAUCAACGUGGUGCCCGGAUCAGGCGGCGAGUGCGGUCAGGCGAUAGCUGACCACCCGCUGGUGCGCAAACUCGGCUUCACCGGCUCCACUGAGAUCGGCAAGGUCAUCAUGAAGUCGUGCGCAGAGUCCAACCUGAAGAAGGCCUCGCUCGAGCUCGGCGGCAAGUCGCCGCUCGUCAUAUUCGCCGACUGUGACAUGGACAAGGCCGUGCGCAUGGGUAUGAGCAGCGUCUUCUUCAACAAGGGCGAGAACUGCAUUGCGGCCGGCCGUCUCUUCAUCGAGGAGUCCAUCUACGACGAGUACCUGCGCAGGAUUGUCGAGGAGAUCGGCAAAAUGACGAUCGGCGACCCGCUGGACCGUUCCACGCAGCACGGCCCGCAGAACCACCUGGCCCACCUGCAGAAGCUGCUCGAGUACGUCGACAUCGGCGUCAAGGAGGGCGCGCGUCUGGUGGUCGGUGGGAAGCGCGUGGACCGGCCCGGCCUGUACAUGGAGCCCACCGUGCUGGCAGACGUCGAGGACCACAUGUUUAUCGCCAAGGAGGAGUCGUUCGGACCCAUCAUGGUCGUCUCAAAGUUCGCAGAGGGUGACGUGGAGGGUGUGGUUCGACGCGCCAAUGACACCGAGUACGGCCUGGCCUCUGGCGUGUUCACGCGCGACGUGAACCGCGCCCUGUACGUCUCGGACCGGCUCGACGCCGGCACCUGCUUCGUCAACACCUACAACAAGACGGACGUGGCCGCCCCCUUCGGUGGCUUCAAACAGUCCGGCUUCGGAAAGGACCUCGGUGAGGAGGCACUUAACGAGUACCUCAAGACCAAAACCAUCACCUUCGAGUACUGAGUCGGCGCCCGGCUGAUGACGUCCCGGUUGUGUGAUGACGUCAUGACCGUGUGAUGACGUCAUUGCUACCAACUGAAGAUCACUGCGCCGGGCGGACCUAGUUACGCCGCCAACGGACUUAUGUCAAACUACCGAAUGUGCUCACUGGCUUAGUAAAAGGUCGGGCGUGUCGAAUCGCUCAUUGACUCGGUGAAAUGUCGGGAGCCAGUGUCGCUCAGUGCCGUCGGAAAGUGCCAUCAUGCUGAUCUGAUCGGUCUCAUUGCGAGGGACGAGUGACGCGAUGAGCCCGUCACGAAAUGAACCUCUCUGGUGAUCUGAUUGAUACUUACAAACAUCCCUGGCUGUUGGGAUGUGUUUAAAGAUGUUGUAUAUAAAGGUCACUAGCGGGCCAUGCGUGCUUCCUGAAACCAUUCGGGUACUCUGGAUCAGGGUUUGACUCUGGACCUAUUUUCACCAGCGAUGGUAUCGCUAACUGUAGCUAUUUGUGGACAUAUAACAGGGAUAAAAACUGGUAUGGUGCGAAUUUUUAGGAUAUUGUGCGCACCGUGGAAGUGAUCGUUGGACCUUGUGUGUGGCCCCGUUUUAAUGGGCUGCGCAAUAUGGGUUAAAGUCGCGUGAUGCAGGCUAUUUGAGAUCUGACUUUUGUUGAUAUAUUUUUACGACGUGUGUCGUUUUCAAUGAGUGGUGCGCUAAUUUAGUGACUGUUGUUUACUACUUACAACUCUGUUGCGCUUUGCCGUGCAUGUAAAGCGCCUUCGGAGGAUCGCUUAAGUAUUCAGUCAUCUCCGUGGUAGCUCACAGUCUGAUAUCAGUAAGCACAGAGGGGUAGUGAAUUUCAAUAGUCUCUGAAUAACAAAUAGUUGUCAGACAUCUCAUGGAUGUGUGUAGGUUUGUGUUUGUUAUGGUGCUGCCAGGCGAUGGCUGAAUCUCGUCUCUGCUACGACUGCCACCGUGUGAGUUUAGACUGGGUUAAGAACUGCCGAGCCGUUAUGGGUUUAAGUCUUUUGCUCUAUCCCUGGUUGAUGUGGAAUCCAUGGUUCAGAGUAUGCUGGUCUUUGUACGUAGAGCUUUCUCCAUAUGUAAAUAAACGGAAUAUCUGGUUUA
Molecule: unclassified non-coding RNA, 4108 nt
Filed under: Amphibalanus amphitrite
Lineage: Eukaryota; Metazoa; Arthropoda; Thecostraca; Balanomorpha; Balanidae
Description: cytosolic 10-formyltetrahydrofolate dehydrogenase- like, transcript variant X3
Source: RNAcentral